Long non-coding RNA from Zonotrichia leucophrys gambelii, 352 nucleotides. RefSeq lists it as uncharacterized. The transcript is spliced from 3 exons. The record is from RefSeq and is a predicted model, not a curated record. Lineage: Eukaryota; Metazoa; Chordata; Aves; Passeriformes; Passerellidae.
UGCAGGGGCUUCUGGCAGCAGCAGAGGGAAAGAAUUCUAAUGCAGGAGAUUCCAGGCUCAGUUCAAGGACAAAAAGAUUGCAUUGCCCUUCACACGUUGGGAAGGAGAGUCUAGGAGAGCCUUGAUGUAUCUCUGCUGAGCCUGCUGCAGUCAGAGAGAUUUGACACCCCUGUGGCAUCGCAGGGCUCAAGGGUGAAUUGUUCAUCUCCCCUUCCUAUACACACAGUCUUGUCCCUUGGUUGGACUACCAGAAACAUCAAGGAAGCUGCCUUCCAAUCCUCCCUCCAGGAGAUCUCUUCUGUCCAUGGCCACUGAGUGUCCCUGCAUGGCUGAUCCAAUUCCAGCAUCCCAU